GGGGAAAUAUAGGUUUCUAUGGCUCAAAGCAUUUAGAACCAUUGAUGAUCCAGCCGGGAAACUGAGGUCCAGGGAGUCACGCAGCAAGCCCCACGCAAGGUCCGGUUGGAAAGGGUGGAAUGGCAUCGAGGGAGUCUCUGUGGAGCCAAGUGGCCAAGGCCUGAGGAGCGAUUGAAAAGAUUGUGAUGAUUUGGAGCUGUAUAUACCCCAGGAAAAUGUGUUUUAAGACUUAGUCCAUUCCUGUGAGUGUGAAUGCAUUGUAAGUAAGAUUUUUUUACGAGGUUACUUCAGUUAAGAUAUGGCCCACC
RNAcentral lists this long non-coding RNA (308 nucleotides) under Dasypus novemcinctus (nine-banded armadillo). RNAcentral describes it as "lncRNA (ENSDNOG00000050051.1)". The record is from RNAcentral. Lineage: Eukaryota; Metazoa; Chordata; Mammalia; Cingulata; Dasypodidae.